Non-coding RNA from Arachis ipaensis, 2601 nucleotides. Lineage: Eukaryota; Viridiplantae; Streptophyta; Magnoliopsida; Fabales; Fabaceae. The record is from RefSeq and is a predicted model, not a curated record.
ACCCUAAUUCCUAAAAUUAGCUCAGAACCCUAAUUUCCCCAAUUCCUAAACCUAACCACCGCAGCCUCACCCUCUUUCAACGUACAAACGCAUACACACUGAAGAAAUGGGGAAACAGAGAGAAAGAUCUGAGAAAGAGAGGGAAGCGAAGGGAGACAGCGCUGGCUGGGCUUCGCUGCCGUCGCCGUCGAGCUGAGGGAAAGAAAGGGAGCUUCACCGCGCCGUCAUCCAACCGGUCGAGUCUGCUGCCUCACCGCCGCCUCCUUCGUCGCGCGCUACUGCCGGCCUGGAAUCGCCGCCACUGCACCUUGCCCGCUUGUCGCCGCCGUUCCGUGGAGUCCGCCCUGGUGCUGGUUGAACAGGGAUGAGGGAGAGGCGUCGAGAGAGAGAUGCAAUGGAGGUCAGAGGGAAGAGCUGCCAUCACCGCCGUCCCGUCUAUGAAGCCUGAGCUCGCGUUGCCGUCCUGAGCUUCGGCGCCGCCGUGGAGGAGAGUGGAGUAGUCACCGUCGUUGGAGAGAAAGGAGACGCACAGGGGAGGAACCGUUCCUCUGCCGCCGCUAUCGCCGGAAUUCCUGGUCGCCGUCGUCGUUCAUGGUGAGUCAGUUAAGUCAUAGCCAUGAGAACCACUACCUCUGAACCCCAGUUGCUCUGUUGCAAUCCUGUAUUUUCUUCUGAUAUUCUCGACUCUGUUCUGUUUCUCUUUUGUUUUGUCGUUCUUACUUCGUUGGUGUCCCUGCUGUUCUAACCGAUUGGAUUGGUGCUGCUGCUGCUAAGACGUAUGCCCUGCUCUCUGGUUUCUGUUUUUCUGAGUACCAGAGCUGCUGCUCCAUUCCUGUAUUUCUUUUGGUAAGAUAGGUUUUGUUCUACAAUCAAUAUUCUGAUUACUGCUCCUUUGAUGAUCUGUUCUGUUUUACCCUUGCAUUUGCUUCAGCCUCUAUUAAAUUCCCUUCCAAAAUUGUUGAUGCUGCUAAGUAAGUUCGGAGCUGCUGUGUUGUUGCCGGAGGAAGGGAACUCAUCAGAAAAAUGUUAUUGAGGCUGAUGUUUGGUUUGAUUGCGUAGUUAACGCGACAUUGAGGUUAUAAACCUUGUGUGCACAAUGCUUACUCAUGACAACAACGUCCCAAAAUGGUUUCUUCCAACCCUCCUUUUGCGGUAUUAUUUUUAUUUUUGGACAAAAAAUGUUCACUUUUAAAUUUCAUUUUUGAAUCCUUCUUUCACUAACCAACCUCAUAUGCAUCCCAUGUUACAGCAAGGGUUCUUAAUUAUUCUAGUGAACCAUAAGAUCGACGUAUUUGAGUAUAUUUGUGCAAGGUUCUUGGGUUUCAUUCAUGACUUAUGGAUGGUGAAACCUAUCCCUUUAUCUUUUAAUGAUGAUAAAAAUUAUUAACAACAAUUUUAACAUCCACUGUUUUGACUAAAUCUUCAUUGGUUUUGUGGCUGUCUCAGAUAUGUGUCCCCAUGUAUAGAGAGCAUCACUGGUACUUGAUGGUUGUGAAAAUUUGGUUAACUACAAGCUCUUGAUACUUGGAUUCCAUAAAAACCAAUGAUGAACAUGAUGUUAGAAUAUCAUAGAUGAAAUAUGUGGUUAAGGUCACGACAUUUUCUUUUAUAUGCCCCUUCUUUAUAACAUUGUGGGUUUUAAAGAUUUUAGACUCAUACAUUUAGUUGACACAUAAAGCUUAUGUUUUCAUCCCUUUCUGUGGUGGAAGGAAUUUUUAAUUGAGACCAUGUUGGAUGACAAAAGAUUCUAGCGAAACGUUGAUCAUUACAAGCCACAUCCUUCAACUUAAAAUGUUGAAGAGCUCACCAUUGUCCAGUAAGGCAAACUCUCGAAUGAUUGUGGUCUUUGGGGUGUCAAUAGAUGAUGCAAAAUUAAGUUUGCGAAAAUAUUGCUUUCGAGUUAAGGGCAGUAAGAUAUUAGGACAAAGAGAUACAAAUGUUUGCUAGAAACACUAAGAAAAGGAGGAAAAGAAUAGUCGACAGCCAUUGUCCAAACCAAAUAUGAGGACCAUUAUCCGAUCCUGAAGAACUGAAUAAUGUUAUUUUGCUUUUAUGUGAUUAAGUUGAUAGUUAGGAGAUUAAGUAUACUCAAUCUAUGUUGUGAUUAAGUUGAUAGUUAGGGGCCUAAAUAUGUCCAAUCUAUGUUGGUGUUCUAAUGCUUAUUUUCGGGGUGUUAUCUUAUUUUGUGGGUUGUAUGAGUGUCCUCUGAAACAUUUUGGUGGUAUGAUGGUUGGCAUUAGCUUAUUUUGUGGGUUGCAUGCAUGCGUCUCAUGUGGAUACCAAACUAAGCUCCUAUUUGGUAGAUAAAAAAUGCUCUUCGUAUAUUAAAAUUAGGCAUUAAAAUCAGCCACCAAUAUAUUUAUGUAUAAAUACAUGUGUGAUUUAAUUUAUUUUCAAAGUGUAUUUAUAUUCCGACAUAUAUUUUAUACUGGUGACUGACUUUAGUAGCUAAUUUUAGUGUGCACGUAACAUAGUACUUGUGCCAUUUUGUUGUAAACUAUUUAACAUAGUACUUGUGCCAUUUUAUUUACACAUUAUUCAAAAAUCUUGUUGGUUACCUAUACUUUUCCUUAUGUAAAUAUAUUGCAGUUACAUUUGGUC